This 252-nucleotide ribosomal RNA is filed under the name uncultured bacterium. RNAcentral's name for it is "partial 16S ribosomal RNA". It matches the Rfam family "Bacterial small subunit ribosomal RNA", at positions 524 to 776 of the family's 1533-position model. The record is from RNAcentral.
UACGUAGGGGGCGAGCGUUGUCCGGAUUUAUUGGGCGUAAAGGGUACGCAGGCGGCCAUGUAAGACAGGUGUGAAAUUCUAUAGCUUAACUAUAGUAAGCACUUGAAACUGUGUGGCCUGAGUUAAGGAGAGGAAAGUGGAAUUCCUAGUGUAGCGGUGAAAUGCGUAGAUAUUAGGAGGAAUACCAGUGGCGAAGGCGACCUUCUGGACUUAUACUGACGCUGAGGUACGAAAGCGUGGGGAGCAAACAGG